CUUGGUCAUUUAGAGGAAGUAAAAGUCGUAACAAGGUUUCCGUAGGUGAACCUGCGGAAGGAUCAUUAAUUAUGUUAAAGCGCCUUACCUUAGGGUUUCCUCUGGGGUAAGUGAUUGCUUCUACACUGUGAAAAUUUGGCUGAGAGACUCAGACUGGUCAUGGGUAGACCUAUCUGGGGUUUGAUCGAUGCCACUCCUGGUUUCAGGAGCACCCUUCAUAAUAAACCUAGAAAUUCAGUAUUAUAAAGUUUAAUAAAAAACAACUUUUAACAAUGGAUCUCUUGGUUCUCGCAUCGAUGAAGAACGUAGCAAAGUGCGAUAACUAGUGUGAAUUGCAUAUUCAGUGAAUCAUCGAGUCUUUGAACGCAGCUUGCACUCUAUGGUUUUUCUAUAGAGUACGCCUGCUUCAGUAUCAUCACAAACCCACACAUAACAUUUGUUUAUGUGGUGAUGGGUCGCAUCGCUGUUUUAUUACGGUGAGCACCUAAAAUGUGUGUGAUUUUCUGUCUGGCUUGCUAGGCAGGAAUAUUACGCUGGUCUCAGGAUCUUUUUUUUUGGUUCGCCCAGGAAGUAAAGUACAAGAGUAUAAUCCAGUAACUUUCAAACUAUGAUCUGAAGUCAGGUGGGAUUACCCGCUGAACUUAAGCAUAUCAAUAAGCGGAGGA
RNAcentral lists this ribosomal RNA (665 nucleotides) under uncultured basal lineage fungus. Its description in RNAcentral is "eukaryotic LSU rRNA". The stretch from base 262 to 415 matches the Rfam family "5.8S ribosomal RNA". The record is from RNAcentral. Lineage: Eukaryota; Fungi.